RNAcentral lists this ribosomal RNA (446 nucleotides) under uncultured bacterium. Its description in RNAcentral is "bacterial SSU rRNA". It matches the Rfam family "Bacterial small subunit ribosomal RNA", at positions 330 to 793 of the family's 1533-position model. The record is from RNAcentral.
GCCAGACUCCUACGGGAGGCAGCAGUGGGGAAUAUUGCACAAUGGGGGAAACCCUGAUGCAGCGACGCCGCGUGAGUGAAGAAGUAUUUCGGUAUGUAAAGCUCUAUCAGCAGGGAGGAAAAUGACGGUACCUGAUUAAGAAGCCCCGGCUAACUACGUGCCAGCAGCCGCGGUAAUACGUAGGGGGCAAGCGUUAUCCGGAUUUACUGGGUGUAAAGGGAGCGUAGACGGUGAUGCAAGUCAGAAGUGAAAGCCCGGGGCUCAACUCCGGGACUGCUUUUGAAACUGUGUGACUGGAGUGCAGGAGAGGUAAGCGGAAUUCCUGGUGUAGCGGUGAAAUGCGUAGAUAUCAGGAGGAACACCAGUGGCGAAGGCGGCUUACUGGACUGUAACUGACGUUGAGGCUCGAAAGCGUAGGGAGCAAACAGGAUUAGAUACCCGAGUAC